AUUAUUAAAGUAUAAAAAAUAUUUUUAGAUUAGUAUUAGUUAUAUUUAUGAAAUUAAAAUAAAUUGGCGGUAUUUUAGACUAUUCAGAGGAAUUUGUUUUAUAAUCGAUAUUCCUCGUUAUACCUAACUUAUAUUAUUUAAUUUGUAUAUCGUUGUCAUUAGAAUAUUUUAUAAGAAAAAUAAUUUUCUAAAAUUAGAUAAAAUUUUAUGUCAAAUCAAGGUGCAGUUUAUAUAUAAGUAAAAAUGAAUUACAAUAAUAUAUAAUUAAAUGAAUUAAAAUUUGAAAUAAUUUUAUGAAGGUGGAUUUGAUAGUAAAUUUAAAAAUUAUAUUAAAUUGAUUUUAGUUCUAGAAUAUGUAC
Molecule: ribosomal RNA, 359 nt
Filed under: Lutzomyia battistini
Lineage: Eukaryota; Metazoa; Arthropoda; Insecta; Diptera; Psychodidae
Description: partial 12S ribosomal RNA
Source: RNAcentral